Long non-coding RNA from Humulus lupulus (European hop), 936 nucleotides. RefSeq lists it as uncharacterized. The transcript is spliced from 4 exons. The record is from RefSeq and is a predicted model, not a curated record. NCBI's taxonomy places the organism in Eukaryota, Viridiplantae, Streptophyta, Magnoliopsida, Rosales, Cannabaceae.
UAAAAGAAAAUGGAAAUUUUAAGGCAUUUUGUGUUAAAUGCCUAAUUUUGCCGAAAUGGGGAAUUUUAUUCCAUGAAUGGACCUUAGGUUAAAUUUUAUUAUGUGAUUAAUUAAAUUAAAUGUGAGAGACAUUAAAUUUAAUUAAUUAAUGUUAAGUUUGGUGAUUAAAACUUAAUAAGAGUGAAAAAAGGUGUCAAAAGCCAAUUUGGACUUUUCUUCUUAUGAAACCUUUAUUAACCUUUAUAAAAAAAAAAAAAAAAAAAAAAAAUUAAUGAUCACAUAUAUGGAAAAGGGUGGCCGACCAUGUGCUAUUUUAGAGUGGUGUGAACCCAAUUUUAUAAAGUUUAACUCCCAUUUAAUUAAGAAGUCAAGUGGGCAAGUGGGUAGAAAAGCACUCAAGUGUUUUGUGAUAUUUUGAAGAGUUGUGUGAGCCAUUCUAACCCCCAAAUCCGACCACUCUCCCUUCCUCAUUCACUCUCAUCUGAUUUUUGAAGACUCUCUCAAGUGUUCUCUCCAUUUUCAACCCCAUGAACACCAAAGAAACUUGGAAGCUAAGUCUUGGUCUAGGAAGGGUUUUCCCUAAGUUGGUUAGGGUUUUUGAAAGGUUUUGGAGGAGCCAAAGCUAAUAGGAAGGUCCAAACCUUAAGCAAGAACACCAAAGAGUACUGGCUAAGCGUAACUGGAUUGAACGUUGGAGGGUGAAAACCUGCUGAGCGCUAAGGACUCCAAGUAAGAGCAAGGGCAAGGCAGAGCAGUGAGCGCUGGAGUCUUCCUUGCAAAUGUACAUGUGGACCGACCUUUUGGGAAGCCUUUUUAUUUUUGGAAAUGUUGUGUAAUUUUCCUAAACUAGGCUCACUCUAAUUUUUAUAAAACAUGUUUGUAACUAAAUGUUAAGUAUGGCCAUACGACUUUUUAAAAAGUUUUUUUUUCUAUGGG